RNAcentral lists this ribosomal RNA (154 nucleotides) under Eubacteriales bacterium. RNAcentral describes it as "partial 23S ribosomal RNA". It matches the Rfam family "Bacterial large subunit ribosomal RNA", at positions 2770 to 2925 of the family's 2925-position model. The record is from RNAcentral. Lineage: Bacteria; Bacillati; Bacillota; Clostridia; Eubacteriales.
GCUGAAGGCAUCUAAGCGUGAAGCCCCCCUCAAGAUGAGAUAUCCCAUUCGAAAGGAGUAAACCCCCUUGAAGACGACGAGGUUGAUAGGGCAGAGGUGGAAGUGCGGUAACGCAUGGAGCUGACUGCUACUAAUAGGGUGAGGGCUUGACCAA